GGUGGGAUGGCCGAGUUGGUCUAAGGCGCCGCACUCAAGUUGCGGUCUCGAGAGAGGCGUGGGUUCAAAUCCCACUUCCACCA
Molecule: transfer RNA, 83 nt
Organism: Lobosporangium transversale
Lineage: Eukaryota; Fungi; Mortierellomycota; Mortierellomycetes; Mortierellales; Mortierellaceae
Rfam family: tRNA
About the family: Transfer RNA (tRNA) molecules are approximately 80 nucleotides in length. Their secondary structure includes four short double-helical elements and three loops (D, anti-codon, and T loops).
Source: Rfam